UUGUGUUGAUUAUUCAGGUUGCUUAGUGAAGUUUCCAUUAUAUAUAUUAUUGUUGAUUUAAUUUGUUCUCAAUCUUUAACUUGAAAAUUAUUUUUUAGUGCUUUAGUUUCCUUUUCAAGUUAUUUGCUACUUUAAUUAGGUGAUAAUUUAGAAUCAGUUAGAGAAUUUAUAAAAAUUAGUUUAACAUAUUGUUAUGUUUUUUGAAUUUGAGUUUGAAUUUGUUUGGACUGGAUUGAUUUAUUUUCUACUGAAUUUUUGCAAUGUGUUGAUGAUGGUUGUGUCAUGCAUUGAUGCUGACUUGUGUAAAUUGAUAUUCAAGAAAUACUUGGUUGCGCUAUUUUUUGUUGUUUGAUGCUUUUGCACGCCAAGUCUCGAUUAUAUGCCUUUAUGUCAAAUUUUUGUUUUAGUUGAUAAUUAGUAUUAUCUUUGAAAUGUAUAUAAUAGUAUAAACAAGUUAAUAUAUUCUACUGGAAAUGUUGUGAAUUCAAUUGAUGAGCUUUGACUGAUGUUGUGGAUUGAGAUUAGUAAGAUUUGUAGAAACCAUAAAUGUGGAUAUAUGUCCAAUUUUAGGAGAUGUUAUGUCAAUUUUUUUUCAAAUAAUAUAAAUAUUGAAAGAUUUGUGUUGUACAUAUGCUUAUUAGUGUUAAUUGGUAUUCUGUUUGAAGACAUGACAACAAGUAGUAGAGGUGUCACGAGUCGGUCUCGUGGUCGUGGUAGAAGGAAGGUUUCCACUAUUGGUACCCCGGAGACUUCUUAGUCAUCACCUUUACCUUGACUACCCCGUCGACCCCUAUUACAUCACAGACGGGUCUACUGGACCAGCAGUUCAUUAUGGUCCCCGACUACGUGGCUCCUUCUGCUACGCCCUCCUUCGCCCCCUAUAACUCUAGCAACAGAGAUUGCAGUGGGUGAUUCUUCUAAUGUGUCCCAGCCAGAUGUCCCUCCACCACCGUCCAUCAUACAGAUGAGGAUUUGGUCUGAUGGCAUGUAUGGGUUUGCACCAAACAACAGAGCAUGUACACAAGAGAUCUCCAAUGUGAUUAAGUCCAUGUACAACAACUCAUGGCCGAACUACACGAAGAUUUCUACCGAGACUAGAAAGCGAUAAUUUCAGAACUGGGAGGUAAGAACCCAAUGUUGUUGAAAUUAACCGUAUUUUAAUUGUAUUUUAUUUCAACUAACUAAUGUUAUUAAAUUACUUUGUGCAUAAGAAUUUUAUAUGGGAUAUGGAACAUGUUAUCUUGAUCAGGAAGAUCUACGACCACCGAAUAGUUAGACGACUUUAGCAGAUGAUAUAGGACGUUAGUUAGGGGUGUGAACACCUCACAAUUUGACUCCAUUCAGAUAUUAAGAAGGAACUAAACGUCCAUUUUAGUACUGAUGAGGGGUUCAAGCAUUAUCGUCUGACGAACAGAACUAACAGGGAUUCGCGGAGGUUGUCGAAGUA
Molecule: non-coding RNA, 1447 nt
Organism: Arachis ipaensis
Lineage: Eukaryota; Viridiplantae; Streptophyta; Magnoliopsida; Fabales; Fabaceae
Source: RefSeq, a predicted model, not a curated record